GAUGAUCACUCGUUGUUGGCUACUUAGUAGUCAGUGACUAAGGGAAACCGAUAAGUGAUCCACCUGGGGAGUACGUCGGCAACGAUGAUACUCAAAGGAAUUGACGGGGGCCCGCACAAGCGGAGGAACAUGUGGUUUAAUUCGAUGAUACGCGAGGAACCUUACCUGGGCUUACAUGCUGGCUGCAUUCACGCGAAAGCGUGAUUUCCUACGGGACCGCCAGCAAGGUGCUGCAUGGUUGUCGUCAGCUCGUGCCGUGAGGUGUCGGGUUAAGUCCCAUAACGAGCGCAACCCCUAUCGUUAGUUGCCAGCAUGUAAUGGUGGGGACUCUAACGAGACUGCCGGUGUAAACCGGAGGAAGCCCGGGAUGACGUCAAAUCAGCACGGCCCUUACGUCCAGGGCUACACACGUGUUACAAUGGCCGGUACAAAGAGCAGCCACCUGGCGACAGGGUGCUAAUCUCUAAAACCGGUCUCAGUUCGGAUCGAAGUCUGCAAUUCGACUUCGUGAAGAUGGAUUCGCUAGUAAUCGCGCAUCAGCCAUGGCGCGCUGUCAAGUUCCCGGGCAUUGUACACACCGCCCGUCAAGCCAUGGAAGCCGGGGG
This 605-nucleotide ribosomal RNA is filed under the name uncultured organism. Its description in RNAcentral is "bacterial SSU rRNA". It matches the Rfam family "Bacterial small subunit ribosomal RNA", at positions 808 to 1417 of the family's 1533-position model. The record is from RNAcentral.